UGGGGAAUAUUGGACAAUGGGGGGAACCCUGAUCCAGCCAUGCCGCGUGUGUGAAGAAGGUCUUCGGAUUGUAAAGCACUUUAAGUUGGGAGGAAGGGCAGUAAGCGAAUACCUUGCUGUUUUGACGUUACCGACAGAAUAAGCACCGGCUAACUCUGUGCCAGCAGCCGCGGUAAUACAGAGGGUGCAAGCGUUAAUCGGAAUUACUGGGCGUAAAGCGCGCGUAGGUGGUUCGUUAAGUUGAAUGUGAAAGCCCCGGGCUCAACCUGGGAACUGCAUCCAAAACUGGCGAGCUAGAGUAGGGCAGAGGGUGGUGGAAUUUCCUGUGUAGCGGUGAAAUGCGUGGAUAUAGGAAGGAACACCAGUGGCGAAGGCGACCACCUGGGCUCAUACUGACACUGAGGUGCGAAAGCGUGGGGAGCAAACAGG
Molecule: ribosomal RNA, 429 nt
Filed under: Pseudomonadota bacterium
Lineage: Bacteria; Pseudomonadati; Pseudomonadota
Description: Proteobacteria bacterium partial 16S ribosomal RNA
Rfam family: Bacterial small subunit ribosomal RNA
Source: RNAcentral